GACGAACGCUGGCGGCGUGCUUAACACAUGCAAGUCGAACGGAAAGGCCCUGCUUUUGUGGGGUGCUCGAGUGGCGAACGGGUGAGUAACACGUGAGUAACCUGCCCUUGACUUUGGGAUAACUUCAGGAAACUGGGGCUAAUACCGGAUAGGAGCUCCUGCUGCAUGGUGGGGGUUGGAAAGUUUCGGCGGUUGGGGAUGGACUCGCGGCUUAUCAGCUUGUUGGUGGGGUAGUGGCUUACCAAGGCUUUGACGGGUAGCCGGCCUGAGAGGGUGACCGGCCACAUGGGGACUGAGAGACGGCGCAGACUCCUACGGGAGGCAGCAGUGGGGAAUAUUGCACAAUGGGCGGAAGCCUGAUGCAGCAACGCCGCGUGCGGGAUGACGGCCUUCGGGUUGUAAACCGCUUUCGCCUGUGACGAAGCGUGAGUGACGGUAAUGGGUAAAGAAGCACCGGCUAACUACGUG
Molecule: ribosomal RNA, 468 nt
Filed under: uncultured bacterium
Lineage: Bacteria
Description: partial 16S ribosomal RNA
Rfam family: Bacterial small subunit ribosomal RNA
Source: RNAcentral